This 429-nucleotide ribosomal RNA is filed under the name Actinomycetes bacterium. RNAcentral's name for it is "Actinobacteria bacterium partial 16S ribosomal RNA". It matches the Rfam family "Bacterial small subunit ribosomal RNA", at positions 355 to 776 of the family's 1533-position model. The record is from RNAcentral. Lineage: Bacteria; Bacillati; Actinomycetota; Actinomycetes.
UAGGGAAUCUUCCGCAAUGGGCGAAAGCCUGACGGAGCAACGCCGCGUGAGUGAUGAAGGUCUUCGGAUCGUAAAACUCUGUUAUUAGGGAAGAACAAAUGUGUAAGUAACUAUGCACGUCUUGACGGUACCUAAUCAGAAAGCCACGGCUAACUACGUGCCAGCAGCCGCGGUAAUACGUAGGUGGCAAGCGUUAUCCGGAAUUAUUGGGCGUAAAGCGCGCGUAGGCGGUUUUUUAAGUCUGAUGUGAAAGCCCACGGCUCAACCGUGGAGGGUCAUUGGAAACUGGAAAACGUGAGUGCAGGAGAGGAAAGUGGAAUUCCAUGUGUAGCGGUGAAAUGCGCAGAGAUAUGGAGGAACACCAGUGGCGAAGGCGACUUUUUGGUCUGUAACUGACGCUGAUGUGCGAAAGCGUGGGGAUCAAACAGG